ACACACACACACACACACACACACACAGAGUCAAGGUAUCGGAGAUAAAUAAAUGAGUUCUGGAGUUCAUGUGAUAUUAGGUGAACUCAUAUUAAUUUCUUGUUUUGUAGGUAAAAAGGAUCAAAUACAGGCAAUUUCAUUUGUUCAACCUCUAAUUGCCCCAUAUUUGCAGUUUAUUACAGUUGGAAAAGGACUUGGCAGGUUUAUUUACAGGUAAUACACCUAACAUCCCUUUAGAUUACAUGACUUACCAAACUCCAAACACAUACCAGUAAAAAACUGGACACCAAAUCAGCCCAGGUUCUUUAAUUUUGAAAGGCAAGUUGGUGGUAUGUAGUAAAAAGUAUGUAACAGUAAUCAUGCUUUCUUUUUUGGAGGGGGGGGGGUCAUGGGGCUUGAACUCAGAGCCUAGGCACUGUCCCUGAGCUCUUCAGCUCAAGGCUAGUGCUCUACCACUUUGAGCUACA
Long non-coding RNA from Perognathus longimembris pacificus (Pacific pocket mouse), 467 nucleotides. RefSeq lists it as uncharacterized. The record is from RefSeq and is a predicted model, not a curated record. NCBI's taxonomy places the organism in Eukaryota, Metazoa, Chordata, Mammalia, Rodentia, Heteromyidae. The transcript is spliced from 3 exons.